RNAcentral lists this long non-coding RNA (674 nucleotides) under Homo sapiens (human). RNAcentral's name for it is "novel transcript, antisense to PYGB". Lineage: Eukaryota; Metazoa; Chordata; Mammalia; Primates; Hominidae. The record is from RNAcentral.
GAACGGCUGGAAAUCACAGCGUGUCGUUCAAAACGAAUGAACCAACCAAGCAGAAGUGGAGCAUCUGGAAAGCCUGAAGGCCAACAAUAGAAGACGAUGCAACAACUGACGACUGGGGGUGGCGGAGCGGGAGGAGGAAAGCCUGAAGGCCAACACUAAAAGACGAUGCAGCAACUGACUGUGGGGGUGGUGGAGCGGGAGGAAGGGAGGGGGUGACCCGCGAGUCUCACUGCCGCUCAUCAAUAGGACCAAGCGUUGUGCAAGCGGAGGACUCCGGGUCACCACCAGGGGAACACAGAGCAUCACAACUGCAGGAGGAAAAUGGGGCAAGGAAAGAUGAUGCAAAGUUCCCGUGCACCAUCUCGGAGCCGGGAAGCCACAGCCCCGGGAAGCACCUCCCGUGGUGCCCACACGGCAGAGGGGUCCUCAGCGGGGGUGGCCUCUAGCCUCUGUCCUACCAUGUGUGUCUCAAACGCACCCAGAUCCUCCACCCCAUCGAGGCUUACUCAUUGGGAAUAGGAGAUCUAUUCCCGGGAGGAGCUUUGUAUCGGAAAGGAGGAUGUGUGGUUCCUUUGGUUUUUAAAAUACCUACUUUAUUAAAUUACAAAAUUUUAGAAACCUAGUUUUUCCUUAAGGUUUCAUUAUCUAUUAAACCUAGCAAAUAUUCACAUUGA